UUGAACGCUGGCGGAAUGCUUUACACAUGCCAGUCGAACGGCAGCACGGGGGCAGCCCUGGUGGCGAGUGGCGAACGGGUGAGUAAUACAUCGGAACGUGCCCGGUCGUGGGGGAUAACGUAGCGAAAGUUACGCUAAUACCGCAUACGAUCUGAGGAUGAAAGCGGGGGACCUUCGGGCCUCGCGCGAUCGGAGCGGCCGAUGUCAGAUUAGGUAGUUGGUGGGGUAAAGGCCUACCAAGCCGACGAUCUGUAGCUGGUCUGAGAGGACGACCAGCCACACUGGGACUGAGACACGGCCCAGACUCCUACGGGAGGCAGCAGUGGGGAAUUUUGGACAAUGGGCGCAAGCCUGAUCCAGCCAUUCCGCGUGCAGGACGAAGGCCUUCGGGUUGUAAACUGCUUUUGUACGGAACGAAAAGGCUCUGGCUAAUACCUGGGGCUCAUGACGGUACCGUAAGAAUAAGCACCGGCUAACUACGUG
Molecule: ribosomal RNA, 483 nt
Filed under: uncultured bacterium
Lineage: Bacteria
Description: partial 16S ribosomal RNA
Rfam family: Bacterial small subunit ribosomal RNA
Source: RNAcentral